This 421-nucleotide ribosomal RNA is filed under the name uncultured bacterium. Its description in RNAcentral is "bacterial SSU rRNA". It matches the Rfam family "Bacterial small subunit ribosomal RNA", at positions 355 to 774 of the family's 1533-position model. The record is from RNAcentral.
UAAGGAAUAUUGGUCAAUGGACGCAAGUCUGAACCAGCCAUGCCGCGUGAAGGAUGAAGGUCCUCUGGAUUGUAAACUUCUUUUAUCUGGGACGAAAACGGGAUUUUUAUCUCAAUUGACGGUACCAGAGGAAUAAGCACCGGCUAACUCCGUGCCAGCAGCCGCGGUAAUACGGAGGGUGCGAGCGUUAUCCGGAUUUACUGGGUUUAAAGGGUGCGUAGGUGGGAUUAUAAGUCAGUGGUGAAAUCUCCGAGCUUAACUUGGAAACUGCCGUUGAUACUAUAGGUCUUGAAUUAUCUGGAGGUAAGCGGAAUAUGUCAUGUAGCGGUGAAAUGCUUAGAUAUGACAUAGAACACCAAUUGCGAAGGCAGCUUACUACAUAUAAAUUGACGCUGAGGCACGAAAGCGUGGGGAUCAAACA